This is a long non-coding RNA of Daphnia carinata, 425 nucleotides long. RefSeq lists it as uncharacterized. NCBI's taxonomy places the organism in Eukaryota, Metazoa, Arthropoda, Branchiopoda, Diplostraca, Daphniidae. The transcript has 3 exons. The record is from RefSeq and is a predicted model, not a curated record.
AAGCAAGCCUGACUUUCUACGAUGCUUCCACCAAAGUGCAUGGUCGCCAAACUUUGUCGUUGUGUUGGACUGUUAAUCCGGAAGAAAAACGGCGUAUUAUUGGCGAUAUGUUUGUGAAAGUGGCACAUAGAACGGCAACGAUUUAAACCUCACUUGGGAUAAACUACUUCUUGGACAAGGUACUUUGAGGCCACAUUUAAUUUGAGUCAGCUUCGCAUAUGGAUUCUUCGCGCGCUGAUGCCAUAAAGACUCAUCAUAACGAUUCCGAAAUGGUUCGUCAGUUGUGCCUUCGCGGCCGUAUAGUAGAACUUCUUAAAGACUUCCAUAGAGGUGAAGUAAGAGCUUUAGGGAGCGAACUGGGUCUGUCUGCAGAAUUACAGGAACGUCACCCGUUUCCAGGUCCCGGAUUGUCAAUUCAAAUCAUU